RNA transcript from Phacochoerus africanus (Common warthog), 477 nucleotides. It is a transcript of the gene named 60S ribosomal protein L35a-like, with no coding region annotated. Lineage: Eukaryota; Metazoa; Chordata; Mammalia; Artiodactyla; Suidae. The record is from RefSeq and is a predicted model, not a curated record. The transcript has 2 exons.
AUGACUUUUCCUACAUUCAAAACCCAUAAUCCCAUAAUCCUUGGAAUGCCAUCUUGGAGCCCGUGGAGGCCUGCUAGGAAGAGGACUUCUAAAACAACACAUAGGUCAGGAAGGUUUUGGUCCAAGGCCAUUUUUGCUGGUUAUAAGCGGGGUCUCUGGAACCAGAGGGAGCACACAGCUCUUCUUAAAAUUGAAGGUGUUUAUGCCCGAGAUGAAACUGAAUUUUAUCUAGGCAAGAAGUGUGUUCAUGUGUACAAAGCAAAGAAUAACACAGUGAGUCCUGGCAGAAAACCUAACAAACCAGAGUAAUCUGGGGAAAGGUAACUCAUGCUUAUGGCAACAGUGGCAGGGUUCAUGCCAAAUUCCAAAGCAACCUUUCUACUAAGGCCACUGGACACAGAAUCCUCAUGAUGCUGUACCCUUCAAGGAUUUAAACUUAUUGUAAAUUAAAUAAAUAAAAGUGGAUUUGUUCUCUUG